ACAAAAUACAAAAUUCACCAUAUAGUAGGGUCUCACACGACUCACAAGAACAUUCCGUUAAAACCUAAACCUGAAAGUGAAGGGCCGUCCUUGAAAAGCGAAGAAAGCACUCUGUCUUUUUUGAACACGACACUAUAAAAAUUGGGCCUAGAAGCAUAGCGGGUUUUCCUAAACAGAACCUGCCAAAAAGUUUGAGCUAAGAUUUAUCAAAAAACAAUGUCACUUCUAGUUAGUCAUAUGGACCAACAGAAAGCAACUGUCCUAAUUAAUACAUUUGUCCCGCUGUCUUGGAUAGCUUGCAUGAAAAAAUAGAUAUUAAUUAGCCAACAUUUGCUACAUGAUACUAAAAAUAAAGUCACACUGGUGGCACAUACUAGAAAGGGUCCAAUCCAUUCUCACGGUCGUUCAGUGAUUUUCUAUCCAGCGAACGAUCCAACGUCAGUCGCCCACCCUUCUUCCUCCACUUCUCUUUCCAU
Molecule: long non-coding RNA, 476 nt
Filed under: Sorghum bicolor (sorghum)
Lineage: Eukaryota; Viridiplantae; Streptophyta; Magnoliopsida; Poales; Poaceae
Description: long non-coding RNA (SBIC_LNC003791)
Source: RNAcentral